UUAAGCGACUAAGCGUACACGGUGGAUGCCCUGGCAGUCAGAGGCGAUGAAGGACGUGCUAAUCUGCGAUAAGCGUCGGUAAGGUGAUAUGAACCGUUAUAACCGGCGAUUUCCGAAUGGGGAAACCCAGUGUGUUUCGACACACUAUCAUUAACUGAAUCCAUAGGUUAAUGAGGCGAACCGGGGGAACUGAAACAUCUAAGUACCCCGAGGAAAAGAAAUCAACCGAGAUUCCCCCAGUAGCGGCGAGCGAACGGGGAGCAGCCCAGAGCCUGAAUCAGUGUGUGUGUUAGUGGAAGCGUCUGGAAAGGCGCGCGAUACAGGGUGACAGCCCCGUACACAAAAAUGCACAUGCUGUGAGCUCGAUGAGUAGGGCGGGACACGUGGUAUCCUGUCUGAAUAUGGGGGGACCAUCCUCCAAGGCUAAAUACUCCUGACUGACCGAUAGUGAACCAGUACCGUGAGGGAAAGGCGAAAAGAACCCCGGCGAGGGGAGUGAAAAAGAACCUGAAACCGUGUACGUACAAGCAGUGGGAGCCUCUUUUAUGGGGUGACUGCGUACCUUUUGUAUAAUGGGUCAGCGACUUAUAUUCUGUAGCAAGGUUAACCGAAUAGGGGAGCCGAAGGGAAACCGAGUCUUAACUGGGCGUUAAGUUGCAGGGUAUAGACCCGAAACCCGGUGAUCUAGCCAUGGGCAGGUUGAAGGUUGGGUAACACUAACUGGAGGACCGAACCGACUAAUGUUGAAAAAUUAGCGGAUGACUUGUGGCUGGGGGUGAAAGGCCAAUCAAACCGGGAGAUAGCUGGUUCUCCCCGAAAGCUAUUUAGGUAGCGCCUCGUGAAUUCAUCUCCGGGGGUAGAGCACUGUUUCGGCAAGGGGGUCAUCCCGACUUACCAACCCGAUGCAAACUGCGAAUACCGGAGAAUGUUAUCACGGGAGACACACGGCGGGUGCUAACGUCCGUCGUGAAGAGGGAAACAACCCAGACCGCCAGCUAAGGUCCCAAAGUCAUGGUUAAGUGGGAAACGAUGUGGGAAGGCCCAGACAGCCAGGAUGUUGGCUUAGAAGCAGCCAUCAUUUAAAGAAAGCGUAAUAGCUCACUGGUCGAGUCGGCCUGCGCGGAAGAUGUAACGGGGCUAAACCAUGCACCGAAGCUGCGGCAGCGACGCUUAUGCGUUGUUGGGUAGGGGAGCGUUCUGUAAGCCUGUGAAGGUGUGCUGUGAGGCAUGCUGGAGGUAUCAGAAGUGCGAAUGCUGACAUAAGUAACGAUAAAGCGGGUGAAAAGCCCGCUCGCCGGAAGACCAAGGGUUCCUGUCCAACGUUAAUCGGGGCAGGGUGAGUCGACCCCUAAGGCGAGGCCGAAAGGCGUAGUCGAUGGGAAACAGGUUAAUAUUCCUGUACUUGGUGUUACUGCGAAGGGGGGACGGAGAAGGCUAUGUUGGCCGGGCGACGGUUGUCCCGGUUUAAGCGUGUAGGCUGGUUUUCCAGGCAAAUCCGGAAAAUCAAGGCUGAGGCGUGAUGACGAGGCACUACGGUGCUGAAGCAACAAAUGCCCUGCUUCCAGGAAAAGCCUCUAAGCAUCAGGUAACAUCAAAUCGUACCCCAAACCGACACAGGUGGUCAGGUAGAGAAUACCAAGGCGCUUGAGAGAACUCGGGUGAAGGAACUAGGCAAAAUGGUGCCGUAACUUCGGGAGAAGGCACGCUGAUAUGUAGGUGAAGCGACUUGCUCGUGGAGCUGAAAUCAGUCGAAGAUACCAGCUGGCUGCAACUGUUUAUUAAAAACACAGCACUGUGCAAACACGAAAGUGGACGUAUACGGUGUGACGCCUGCCCGGUGCCGGAAGGUUAAUUGAUGGGGUUAGCGCAAGCGAAGCUCUUGAUCGAAGCCCCGGUAAACGGCGGCCGUAACUAUAACGGUCCUAAGGUAGCGAAAUUCCUUGUCGGGUAAGUUCCGACCUGCACGAAUGGCGUAAUGAUGGCCAGGCUGUCUCCACCCGAGACUCAGUGAAAUUGAACUCGCUGUGAAGAUGCAGUGUACCCGCGGCAAGACGGAAAGACCCCGUGAACCUUUACUAUAGCUUGACACUGAACAUUGAGCCUUGAUGUGUAGGAUAGGUGGGAGGCUUAGAAGUGUGGACGCCAGUCUGCAUGGAGCCGACCUUGAAAUACCACCCUUUAAUGUUUGAUGUUCUAACGUUGACCCGUAAUCCGGGUUGCGGACAGUGUCUGGUGGGUAGUUUGACUGGGGCGGUCUCCUCCUAAAGAGUAACGGAGGAGCACGAAGGUUGGCUAAUCCUGGUCGGACAUCAGGAGGUUAGUGCAAUGGCAUAAGCCAGCUUGACUGCGAGCGUGACGGCGCGAGCAGGUGCGAAAGCAGGUCAUAGUGAUCCGGUGGUUCUGAAUGGAAGGGCCAUCGCUCAACGGAUAAAAGGUACUCCGGGGAUAACAGGCUGAUACCGCCCAAGAGUUCAUAUCGACGGCGGUGUUUGGCACCUCGAUGUCGGCUCAUCACAUCCUGGGGCUGAAGUAGGUCCCAAGGGUAUGGCUGUUCGCCAUUUAAAGUGGUACGCGAGCUGGGUUUAGAACGUCGUGAGACAGUUCGGUCCCUAUCUGCCGUGGGCGCUGGAGAACUGAGGGGGGCUGCUCCUAGUACGAGAGGACCGGAGUGGACGCAUCACUGGUGUUCGGGUUGUCAUGCCAAUGGCACUGCCCGGUAGCUAAAUGCGGAAGAGAUAAGUGCUGAAAGCAUCUAAGCACGAAACUUGCCCCGAGAUGAGUUCUCCCUGACUCCUUGAGAGUCCUGAAGGAACGUUGAAGACGACGACGUUGAUAGGCCGGGUGUGUAAGCGCAGCGAUGCGUUGAGCUAACCGGUACUAAUGAACCGUGAGGCUUAACCUU
This 2902-nucleotide ribosomal RNA is filed under the name Escherichia coli. RNAcentral's name for it is "bacterial LSU rRNA". It matches the Rfam family "Bacterial large subunit ribosomal RNA". Lineage: Bacteria; Pseudomonadati; Pseudomonadota; Gammaproteobacteria; Enterobacterales; Enterobacteriaceae. The record is from RNAcentral. RNAcentral also lists the same sequence under 1 other name.